UCUUCUAUCUAUAGACUGACUAUCUUUACCUAGAGAAAGCUCGUAUGGAUCUAUAGUAAUCUGGAAUGAUUCAUAGUACUCGAAGUGGUAUCGAGAAUAUCAAGGUCUCGUUUAUUAUUAACUAAUCAUCAAUCCCUUGUAUUAUUAAUUAAUGAUAGGAUAAGAAUCUAAGCGUUCCCGUCCAAAUUAUAAUAAAACCAUCUGGUCGCAAUGUUUUCUGGCGCACGUGGCGAAUUGGUAAUUGAAAUUAUUUCGCAACAAUGAAGCACGCAGUUGAAACACAGGAUGUAUAAUUAAAGUUCAAGAUCGAGGUCGACGUAUUGAUCGAACCUACGCGAAGACUACAAAUUUUCUUCCGCUCGAGCCGAGAAGCUAAGAGGGGAAAAAAAGGUGAAUCGUAGCUUUUUACGGGAUUUCCGUUGUGUCCCAUCGAUUCUAAGGGAUAAUGAUUCCAACAACUAUACAUCUUCGUUUAAAGUUAAAAUACAACAUUUUCAUUUCAGAAUUUAUUCUAUUGGAAUCUCUGGGAUAUUUUUACAAAAAUUUCCAUUUUGGGAAAAAUAGAAAUGAAUUAUGCAAAAAUAAAAAUAAAAAAAUGGAUGACAUUCCUUUUAUAAAAAAACCACGACCAUUCGUCGAUAAAUUUUUAUCGGCACGUAAAAACCAUUUCGUCACGCUUGGUCCGUGAUACUGUGGCUAUGUUUCAUGUAUCGAAAGAAGGCAUCGACGGGUACAUUUGCAUUCAGGGAAACCGAGUCGAAUGUUAUACCGUUUGUACGCGUUCCGACUUUGCGCUCUGUUCCAUCGAAGACGUAGUAAAAGUCUGCCUAAUGCCGGAUGGUGAGCCGCUUUACAUUCCGCAGGGAUGAAUUAAUAACCGAGAAUUUUGAAAUUUUCCCGACCGCGCCCGUGAAACUUUAACUUCGCCGCAACGUCAAUGAAAAUCUCCAAUUGGAACUUAAUUCGUCAAGCUUCCAUUUAUUUUUUUUUAUUUUAACGCACAGCAAAAACAGUGAUAUUUUGAUCAAUUUUAAAAAAGAUAAAAUUAUAAAAGGAAUAUAGAUCAAACUUCAGUGCGUAAAAAUGAUUAUUUCUCCACAAUUUUGAAUGGUUCCGGAUUCAAUUUUUUCUUCUUACGAUCUAAUAUCGGAACAAAAUCUUUCCUCUACAUCUUUCAAACGUUCCCUCGACAAUCUUAGAAAGAAAAAAAAAAAAAAAGAGAGAGAUCC
Long non-coding RNA from Apis mellifera (honey bee), 1229 nucleotides. RefSeq lists it as uncharacterized. Lineage: Eukaryota; Metazoa; Arthropoda; Insecta; Hymenoptera; Apidae. The transcript is spliced from 3 exons. The record is from RefSeq and is a predicted model, not a curated record.